CCUACGGGUGGCAGCAGUGAGGGAUAUUGGUCAAUGGACGAGAGUCUGAACCAGCGAAGUAGCGUGAAGGAUGACUUCUCUAUGGGUUGUAAACUUCUUUUAUAUGGGAAUAAAAUGUUCCACGUGUGGGAUUUUGUAUGUACCAUAUGAAUGAGGAUCGGCUAACUCCGUGCCAGCAGCCGCGGUAAUACGGAGGAUGCGAGCGUUAUCCGGAGUUAUUGGGUUUAAAGGGAGCGUAGGUGGAUUGUUAAGUCAGUUGUGAACGUUUGCGGCUCAACCGUAAAAUUGCAGUUGAAACUGGCAGUCUGGAGUACAGUAGAGGUAGGCGGAAUUCGUGGUGUAGCGGUGAAAUGCUUAGAUAUCACGAAGAACUCCGAUUGCGAAGGCAGCUUACUGGACUGCAACUGACACUGAGGCUCGAAAGUGUGGGUAUCAAACAGGAUUAGAUACCCGAGUAGUC
RNAcentral lists this ribosomal RNA (460 nucleotides) under uncultured bacterium. RNAcentral describes it as "partial 16S ribosomal RNA". It matches the Rfam family "Bacterial small subunit ribosomal RNA", at positions 338 to 795 of the family's 1533-position model. The record is from RNAcentral.